AUGGACAAGACCGGUGCCUUGUCUCUGACCCUGCUCUUCCUGUUCGUCGCCGGGGCCGAGGCCGACAAGUGCAAGGACGUCCGAGCGACGUCCACUGCGGCCUGCCGUCAGGCGAGCACCAGCAAGCUCCUGUACGACAUCUGCGUCCAGAUGCUUGCGGGCUCACCGGAUAGGGGUGACGUACGCAGCCACGCGCUCACUGCCGCCGGCGCAGUCCUCGAGUCCUACGCGGCCACUGGCGUGGCAAUCAAUAAGAUGCUGCGGUCGGGAUCCGACCGCAUGAAGGAGGCUAUGUUAUUCUGUACACAGUACUACUACCAUGCGCAAAUUCGCUUCAAGGAGAUCAAGACAUUGCUGGAGGACAACUCCGAUUGCGACCUCAAGACAUUCGAGGCAGUGUACUCGGACGCCAUCAUGCGCCUCGACGACUGCCGUAGCAAGAUGAUUCCCAUCCAAGGCGAGUCGCCGUCCAUGUACGGCAUGAUCUACACCGAUGGCCACCGGAGCUUUUUGGCUUUCCGGCUGGGCCUGCUGGUUGCUAACCCCUAG
Molecule: ribosomal RNA, 549 nt
Filed under: Triticum aestivum (bread wheat)
Lineage: Eukaryota; Viridiplantae; Streptophyta; Magnoliopsida; Poales; Poaceae
Description: partial small subunit ribosomal RNA
Source: RNAcentral